AACGAACGCUGGCGGCACGCUUAACACAUGCAAGUCGAACGAGUGGCAACACGAGUGGCGGACGGGUGAGUAAUACAUGGUAAUCUGCCUAUUAGUUUGGAAUAACCAUUGGAAACGAUGGCUAAUACCGGAUAAUCCCUGAGGGGGAAAGUAUUUAUACGCUGAUAGAUGAGACCAUGGCUAAUUAGCUAGUUGGUAGGGUAAGAGCCUACCAAGGCGAUGAUUAGUAGCUGUUUUGAGAGGAAGAUCAGCCACACUGGGACUGAGACACGGCCCAGACUCCUACGGGAGGCAGCAGUGGGGAAUAUUGGACAAUGGGGGAAACCCUGAUCCAGCGAUGCCGCGUGAGUGAAGAAGGCCUUAGGGUUGUAAAGCUCUUUUACUGAUGAAGAUAAUGACGGUAAUCAGAGAAUAAGCUCCGGCAAACUUCG
This 431-nucleotide ribosomal RNA is filed under the name uncultured Pseudomonadota bacterium. Its description in RNAcentral is "bacterial SSU rRNA". It matches the Rfam family "Bacterial small subunit ribosomal RNA", at positions 29 to 505 of the family's 1533-position model. Lineage: Bacteria; Pseudomonadati; Pseudomonadota. The record is from RNAcentral.